Molecule: long non-coding RNA, 2454 nt
Organism: Gallus gallus (chicken)
Lineage: Eukaryota; Metazoa; Chordata; Aves; Galliformes; Phasianidae
Source: Ensembl
GUAUUUUCAGGUUUUUUUCCAGCUCCAACUAACUCCAUUGCUUGAGUAGAAUGGCCACCACUGAUGUGGAUCAGGAAGGACAAGUUCUAUGGCUUCAAGCCUGUCUGAUGGAAACCUUAAAGGCACAAGAACAGGCUGUUCCUGAAUGCUGUAAGGCGAGCCGAAGGGGAAGAAGACCGGUGUGGAUGAAGCAGGAACUACUGUUGAUACUCUGGGAAGAAAAGGAGUCUAUUUCCUCCAGAAGAAGGGAUAGGCUACUUGGGGAGAUUACAAAGAAGUUGCUAAGAAACAGCUCAUAGCACACAAAGGAGGAGUUACCGGUCAGUUUUUGUGCUGGAAGAUCACCGUGGGGGUCCACAGGGAUGUAUUCAUCAGUGAAGUGAGAAAGAGAACGAAUGGUGAAGUGACACAGUUUGCUAAGUUAUUCACCAUAACAAAGACAUAGUGAAAGCAAGUGGCACUGGACUGAACAACAGAGAAGUCUUAUAAAUCUGUAAGUCACAAGUAAAUUGCUUAGCACCACUUUGGGCCUAAACUCUUGCAUCUUGACUGCUCUGCUCUUUUUAAUCCAGGAUAAGUUGAAGAAGAAACAAGACUAAGUUACAAACAAGCUUUUUAAGACAGGAUGAGCUUGCAUUCAUUGUAUGAGUUCGUGAGCUUGCAUAAGUGACACUGUGCUGUAGAAUGAUUCCAGACUUAUGAGGGAGCCAUUGAUUAUACAGCUCUUUUGGUUUUCUGAGUACUUUAAUGAUGCUUUGCUUUUUGAAGAAGCUGCAACUUAAAAUAAAGCCCGUUUUCGAUUUAUGCAGUUGUUACAUUUCCACCAUGGGAAUACAGAGCACCACAAAGCAUGGAACCCAGAUCCUUUCAGUCCUGCCUCCUCCCUUCUAGCCUGGAACUGAGCAUGCCACUGGGAAGCAGCCUCCGCUACCCAGGAGCCUCUUCCAGCACCCAGUCUUACAAUUACUGGAUUUUUCAAGACAAAAAGACACCUAUCUAUCCCUGUAUGGGAACUGUUGAAUCAUGGCCUGAACCUCUGAUUGACUAUCAGAGGCAAGCACUGAGUCAGCCACAGGGGCACAGGUGAAUGCAAUUUCACCUGAGUGACCGAAAGGGUCACUCCACCCCUCCUAGACCCCAUUUAAGGGCUGACUCCCAAGGAGGAAGGAUCUCUAUCUGAAGAUUGCUCCUCUUGGAGUCCUUCCACAAGCCCAGGGCACAGGUAAGCUCUUUAUUUCAUUGCUCCUUUGUAAUGUGAUAAUCUCUCUCGACCUGUAUACCUAUUUACCUUACAAUCUGUAUACCUAUUUGCCAUACAAUCCUGUUUCAAGGAGGUCAAGUGUCAGACCACAACACUGGAAGACACGCAGAGAAGGAGAAUACUCAUUUGUACAUUUCAAUCUAAAAUGAAACAUCAAGGAUGACUAAGACAACCACCACAGGUCACAUUGGAGGACAAAGACAGCACACAGUCCAACAGCAACCCCUGGUCAGCCAACACCCAUCACAGGAACCACUACUUCUGCCAGCAGCUGUAAGGAAACAAAAAACAGUUGACAGUGCUCAAGAGGGACCUGGGAGGGUUCCAGAUUGUGUCACGUACUAGGCACACCCACCACAAGACCACAUGUCUUCCAUUCCAUCAGCACAGCUGCGUUUGGGGAAGAUUGGGCUAGAUGACUCUUAAGGGGGCAGGGGAGGGUGCACACUCCACAGCCUUCAGUGGAGUCCAACUCCAUUAUUGUAGCUCCUGAUCAAGUACACAAAGGCAGGACUGCCAUCCUUCCUCUCAGGCAUCAACUGCGCCAACACCUGGAUUGGAAGACAACAGUUGGGGGAUGCUAGGCCUCCCAUUCAGGGAGACCAAGGACUGCACCAGAACCCCCAACUCCCACAGAAAAAGACUGCUUUGGUGCACAGGCAGUGCUCCCCACGCUUCUCACUCUGUCAACAUCAUUCCUCCAGGAGAUCCUCUGCUACACACUGUCAGGACUAAAAGCAAAUCACAAUGCCACGCAACUGAGCCUCACCUCAGCCCCCCAGGAGCCAUCAACUCAAUCCCAAGGGAACUGCAUCCCAUCACUGAGAAAGCCACUUGUGGCAAGGAUCAACUGCUGUCUGACACACACCCAGCUGCAGCCCUCACUUGACAACAAAAGACAAGAAAAAAAAUCAGUACUCUGAUGUCAUCCCAAGGGAAACCAAUAUUAAACAGAGGGAGAAACGCCUCUUCAGCUUUAUGGAAUUCGAAGUCACGUCUUCUCUUUCUCGUUUCUUUCUGUUCACUAAACAAUUUUCAAAUUGAUGUACAGCUAAUGCAGAAAAAGAUGUCUUUUUCUUAUCUCUGAAAAGAAUAAUCUGAAACACAGACAAUAUUCAAAUGCUCAGGCUUGACUGUGACCUCAGUAUUCAUAUUAGUGGAGGCUUAUUCACCUUAUUAAAAUUAAUCCCGUG